Molecule: ribosomal RNA, 497 nt
Filed under: uncultured bacterium
Lineage: Bacteria
Description: partial 16S ribosomal RNA
Rfam family: Bacterial small subunit ribosomal RNA
Source: RNAcentral
GAUGAACGCUGGCGGCGUGCCUAAUACAUGCAAGUCGAGCGAACGGACGAGAAGCUUGCUUCUCCGAUGUUAGCGGCGGACGGGUGAGUAACACGUGGAUAACCUUCCUAUAAGACUGGGAUAACUUCGGGAAACCGGAGCUAAUACCGGAUGAUAUUUUGAACCGCAUGGUUCAAAAGUGAAAGACGGUCUUGCUGUCACUUAUAGAUGGAUCCGCGCUGCAUUAGCUAGUUGGUAAGGUAACGGCUUACCAAGGCAACGAUGCAUAGCCGACCUGAGAGGGUGAUCGGCCACACUGGAACUGAGACACGGUCCAGACUCCUACGGGAGGCAGCAGUAGGGAAUCUUCCGCAAUGGGCGAAAGCCUGACGGAGCAACGCCGCGUGAGUGAUGAAGGUCUUCGGAUCGUAAAACUCUGUUAUUAGGGAAGAACAUAUGUGUAAGUAACUGUGCACAUCUUGACGGUACCUAAUCAGAAAGCCACGGCUAACUACGUG